GACGAACGCUGGCGGCGUGCCUAAUACAUGCAAGUCGAACGCAGUGGGGACGGGUGAGUAACACGUGGGUAACCUCCCAUCAGAGGGGAUAACACUUGGAAACAGGUGCUAAACCGAUCCUGAUGGAUGGACCCGCGGUGCCUUAGCUAGUUGGUGAGGUCACGGGUCACCAAGGCCAAGAUGCAUAGCCGACGUGUGAGGGGUAUCAGCCGCAUGGGGAGUAAGUCACGGCCCAGACUCCUACUGGAGGCAGUAGUAUGGAAUCUUCGGCAGUGGACGAAAGUCGGGCCGAGCAACGCCGCGUGAGUGAAGAAGGUUUUCGGAUCGUAAAACUCUGUUAUGAGAGAAGCGGUAUCUAACCAGAAAGCCACGGCUAACUACGUGCCAGCAGCCGCGGUAAUUC
RNAcentral lists this ribosomal RNA (403 nucleotides) under uncultured bacterium. Its description in RNAcentral is "partial 16S ribosomal RNA". It matches the Rfam family "Bacterial small subunit ribosomal RNA", at positions 28 to 526 of the family's 1533-position model. The record is from RNAcentral.